This 2820-nucleotide long non-coding RNA is filed under the name Sus scrofa (pig). RNAcentral describes it as "lncRNA (ENSSSCG00055027846.1)". Lineage: Eukaryota; Metazoa; Chordata; Mammalia; Artiodactyla; Suidae. The record is from RNAcentral.
GAAUGGAAGUGUUCAUCCUUCAGUUUCUUCCAUUGUGUUUUCCGUCCAGAAUCAUAACUAGCUGUGUUUCUGGCAUCUGCCUGAACUGGAAGAGGUCUUAGUAUGAAUCCCUUGUGGAAAAAUGAUGACUUGUACUCACUUUUUUUAGUGUAAGGCUUAUUGGUCUUUCAAGAGAUAGUUUGUUGGUGUAGGAGUGUCCACUCAUUUGAGAUGUUUUCCUUUCGCGUGUUCCUUGUUGUUUUAGCUUCACUUGACCUAGUCAUGUAUGCUCUGUGCAUUCGUGUAUUAUUCCUUCUAAUUUGUGGGGUGUACGCCAAGGCUUAAAUCAGUUUCAGUUGUACAUGUUUAUUAUGGAUUCAGGAAGGGCAGCUGAAAACUAUCCUCAGAGUAAUCCUGAGAAUUUUCUAUUGCUUCUUUUUUAAAAAAGACACUAAAGCAUUAGGAUUAAUUAGAAUUAGCUCUGCUAAAGUUGAGUUUGUUUCUGAAUUUGUUUUUGUAGGUAAUUGGAAAGUAACUCAAUCAUUAUUUAAACAUGGGUUCUUCUGGAUUCACCUACAGAUGUUUUUCUAGGAGAAAAAAUGUCAGCUUGUAAUUUGCUGUUAAACUAUCAUAAGAUUAUACUGGACAUGAGGCAUUCAGGGUGUAUGUUAUGUGUUAAAAUUUGAAUACAUGCAUAGUAGAUGGACUGUUGUUUUAUAUUAGCAUUUUUAUUUUUGGUAUCAAGCCUCUGUUUUUGAAUCCAUUGGUUAAACGUAUACUUGUCUUUAAGAAGUAGAAGAUUUUUUGAGAGAAAGAGAGGUAGCCUUUUGUCUUUCAUAAGUAAAUUCAUGGAAGGCAUUUUAGAGAUGGAUUUUCUGUGGCAAGACUUUAUCCCACAUGAUGUUGAAACUUUUAUUAGUCAGGCCUUAUCAAAUUUCCAUUUAGCACUUUUCCCCCUCCAUUUGAACAUCAGGACAUGAAGAGAAUUUAAAUAGCCUAUAAAUUCGCACAUAACGAUUCAUGGAAUCCAAAUGCUUCCUCUUACAUUUUUGUUUUGACUUUGUAAUGAAGAUGAUGUGGUGAAUGGUGGUCACUGUUAAUAAGACGAUGUGGAGGGAUGGACCAGGAAGGCAGCAGUGCCCAGUAAAGAGACUCACAGUUUAUAAUGGGAUUUAUUUUUCGUAAGGAUAAUAUUUAAGUUCCCAUUUUUAAAAUCAUCUUGACACUAGCUCUUAAUUAAUAGCAUUUCUGCCUAAAAGUCCUCCAUUAAUAAGCAACUAGCAAGCCAGGCUAGAGGACACUCCACUGUGUGUAAAUAGGAAGAUCUCGUGCCUGUGUGCAUUGGCUUAUAAGUAGAGCUGAGGGGCACGUGGGUAUUUCCCUCUGUGUGUGUGUGUGUGUGUGUGUGUGUGUGCGUGCGCGCGCGCGCGUUGGGGAUGAGGGUGGGCCCUUUGCUCCCGAGGAUGCUUUGUAGAUGUCUUUUGUUUGCAUCUCUUCCUCCUUUCCUUUGUCUGCAGUGGUUGGGUUCUCCUGUGCACCAGCGCCCUAAGUGACAGCUACUGCCACUCAUUAAUCCAAAGCCCAUUUCUUCCCCUCCGUCAUUUCCCUUUUAUAUCAUGGCACCGUUUCAAGUCCUGAUCCCCCUAUUGUGCAUGUGGAGGUUCAGGAAUGGAGAGUAAUUGGUGUUAUUGCACUGUCUUGAGAAGGAACGCUUUUAAUGAAAGACAUGUUCACAUCUGCAAACUAAGAUCAUUGUGUCAUGAUUGCAUAUUGUUGGGCUUCUUGGAUCGUCUGUUUGCAGUCAGAGGUUUUUUUUGUGGGUUCAGAUCCAGCAUCUCAGACUCUCAUAGUUCAUGAGGUCUUUAUGAUUAAAACACACACUCAUGUGUAUGCAUAUAUAUAUGUAUAUACCUGUGUCUCUCUAUAUUUUCCUUUAUAAUGGAUUAGACAUUAUGAAAUCCCAAUAGAACAUGAAACUGCUCUGUGAGUGUACACGUCCUCCCAUGCACCAGUGUGAAAAUAAUGGCUUCUUUAUUAUGACACUCUUGGUUAGUCAAACUUUCCUUCUUUCUUUAGCUAUUUUUAAGUGUUGUGAUAUUAACAUCAAAGGAAUGGCUGGUUAAUACUAGCAGGCUUUCAUCUUCUUUACUUUCUCCCAUGCAAUGCAUUCAGAUUUUAUCAUUGUUUUCAUUCUGUGCUUUGCGUACGUGAUCCUUUUGCAUGUUCAGAUUGGUGAUGGUCGGAGCAGAGAUGGCUGAAUUAUCACUUCUAUGGAAAAAUGUUUCUAACGUUAUUGUGAGUAACUCGGCUUAGAGACUUUCUUUCAUCCCGCGUGUUACAUACACUCUUCCUUUUGCACUCCAAAAAUAUAAUUAAAUUCCUUUUCUAAUCAUUUUGAAUCUGGGAUCUAGUUGAGGUGUAUCUUAACAUGCUUGCUAAGUAGGAAUCAAAGAAAAUACAGUUUGGGCUUUAGUGUAGGGAAGGCAGUUGAACUCACGGUAUCAUCUGAUCGAAGUGAGGAGUCUUCCAGGAUGCGGAUCCUGGACGAGAGGGAGGGUGCUGGCAGGUAGACAGGAGAGGGACUGACAAAGGUCAUCAAAUUCAGGUGAGUCUGUGGAAAUGCACAGCUCCAAAUGAGUCGUAUUUGUCAGCAUCAUCACUUGCUGGUAGGUCACUUUGAAAUGUAUUGCAGUGAUGUUAGGAACACUUUUUAAAAACAAUUCGAAUGGAAAUUCUUGCUAUUUGUUAAAUUAUUGUCUAUGAAGAUACUAGGCAGACUAACUUGGGCAUAAGUAUCCUAUGCUCUUUAUAUAAAGUGAAAAAUAGGGGAAAAAACAAAAA